This 622-nucleotide ribosomal RNA is filed under the name uncultured fungus. RNAcentral describes it as "eukaryotic LSU rRNA". It matches the Rfam family "Eukaryotic large subunit ribosomal RNA", at positions 24 to 664 of the family's 3401-position model. Lineage: Eukaryota; Fungi. The record is from RNAcentral.
CCCGCUGAACUUAAGCAUAUCAAUAAGCGGAGGAAAAGAAACCAACAGGGAUUACCUCAGUAACGGCGAGUGAAGCGGUAACAGCUCAAAUUUGAAAUCUGGCCUCACGGUCCGAGUUGUAAUUUGUAGAGGAUGCUUCGAGCAUGGUCUGGCCUAAGUUCCUUGGAACAGGACGUCAUAGAGGGUGAGAAUCCCGUAUGCGGUCAGGUGCCUACGCUCAUGUGAAGCUCCUUCGACGAGUCGAGUUGUUUGGGAAUGCAGCUCAAAAUGGGUGGUAAAUUUCAUCUAAAGCUAAAUAUUGGCCAGAGACCGAUAGCGCACAAGUAGAGUGAUCGAAAGAUGAAAAGCACUUUGGAAAGAGAGUUAAACAGUACGUGAAAUUGUUGAAAGGGAAGCGCUUGCAACCAGACUUGCGCGCGGCCGAUCAUCCGGUGUUCUCACCGGUGCACUCGGCCGUGCUCAGGCCAGCAUCGGUUUUGGCGGCUGGAUAAAGGCCCCAGGAAUGUGGCUCCUCUCGGGGAGUGUUAUAGCCUGGGGUGCAAUGCAGCCUGCUGGGACCGAGGACCGCGCUUCGGCUAGGAUGCUGGCGUAAUGGUUGUAAGCGGCCCGUCUUGAAACACGG